This 460-nucleotide ribosomal RNA is filed under the name uncultured bacterium. RNAcentral describes it as "partial 16S ribosomal RNA". It matches the Rfam family "Bacterial small subunit ribosomal RNA", at positions 338 to 795 of the family's 1533-position model. The record is from RNAcentral.
CCUACGGGAGGCAGCAGUGAGGAAUAUUGGUCAAUGGGCGGGAGCCUGAACCAGCCAAGCCGCGUGAGGGAAGAAGGUACAGCGUAUCGUAAACCUCUUUUGUCAGGGAACAAAGGCGGGGACUAGUCCCCGGAUGAGGGUACCUGAAGAAAAAGCAUCGGCUAACUCCGUGCCAGCAGCCGCGGUAAUACGGAGGAUGCGAGCGUUAUCCGGAUUUACUGGGUGUAAAGGGAGCGUAGACGGCAGAGCAAGUCUGAAGUGAAAGCCCGCGGCCCAACUGCGGGACUGCUUUGGAAACUGCCCGGCUAGAGUGCUGGAGAGGUAAGCGGAAUUCCUAGUGUAGCGGUGAAAUGCGUAGAUAUUAGGAGGAACACCAGUGGCGAAGGCGGCUUACUGGACAGUAACUGACGUUGAGGCUCGAAAGCGUGGGGAGCAAACAGGAUUAGAUACCCUGGUAGUC